GUACACGCUGUGACUAGCAUAUCAAUAAGCGGAGGAAAAGAAACUAACAAGGAUUCCCCUAGUAACGGCGAGUGAAGCGGGAAGAGCUCAAAUUUGAAAUCUUAAAGGGUUUCCCUUUACGAAUUGUAGUUUCAAAGAAGUGUUUUCUGUUGAGGUUUUGGUAAAAGUUCUUUGGAAUAGGACAUCAUAGAGGGUGAGAAUCCCGUAUUUGACCUUUACUUUCAACUUUGUGAUACACUUUCAAAGAGUCGGAUUGUUUAGGGAAUGCAGUCCAAAAUGGGUGGUAAAUUUCAUCUAAAGCUAAAUAUUGGCGAGAGACCGAUAGCGAACAAGUACCGUGAGGGAAAGAUGAAAAGAACUCUGAAAAGAGAGUUAAACAGUACGUGAAAUUGUCAAAAGGGAAGCGUUUGACACCAGUGUUGUUUUUCUGAAAAUCAAUUAAAGAACUGUUUAUGCUAAGCUUGUUUAGACUUUAUCAGCUAACUGUUUAGUUUUGAGCUUUUCUUUAAUGCACUUUUCAGUUAACAAGUCAACAUCAAUUUCUUUUGCUGUAAAAAAGCUUGAGGAAGGUGGCUUGAGAUUCGUCUUAAGUGUUUAUAGCCUCUUGCCUAUGCAGUCGGAGAGAUUGAGGUCUGCAGCGUAGAUCCUUCGGGGCUAAAUGCAUUUGUGCUAAGUUAUAGCAUUUUAUAGACAACUUGUUGACUAUGAUUUGUCUUGUAGCUUACUCGCUUAUGUUAUUUUACCUACGCUUAGGAUGUUGAAGUCAUCGUAUCGCGC
This 777-nucleotide ribosomal RNA is filed under the name uncultured Neocallimastigales. RNAcentral's name for it is "partial large subunit ribosomal RNA". It matches the Rfam family "Eukaryotic large subunit ribosomal RNA", at positions 22 to 645 of the family's 3401-position model. Lineage: Eukaryota; Fungi; Neocallimastigomycota; Neocallimastigomycetes; Neocallimastigales. The record is from RNAcentral.